This 323-nucleotide ribosomal RNA is filed under the name uncultured fungus. Its description in RNAcentral is "eukaryotic LSU rRNA". The stretch from base 1 to 71 matches the Rfam family "5.8S ribosomal RNA", at positions 84 to 154 of the family's 154-position model. Lineage: Eukaryota; Fungi. The record is from RNAcentral.
GUGAGUCAUCGAAUCUUUGAACGCACCUUGCGCUCCUUGGUAUUCCGAGGAGCAUGCCUGUUUGAGUGUCAUUAAAUUCUCAACCUUUUCAACUUUUAUUAGUUGAUCAGGCUUGGAUAUGGGGGUUGCGGGCUUCUCAGAAGGUCAGCUCUCCUUAAAUGCAUUAGCAGAACCUUGGUUGACUAGCUCUGGUGUGAUAAUUAUCUACGCUAUUGUGAAUGCAGCUUUAUAUGGGGUUCAGUCUUCUAACGGGUCCUUUUAUUAGGACAACUUUUUGUACUAUUUGACCUUCAAAUUCAGGUAGGACUACCCGCUGAACUUAA